UAUUAUAAUUAUUGUCUGCAGGAAAAAAUGGUGAUCUUUCUCAGAAGUUUUGGAGCACAAAGGACCCAGGGCAGAAGCCAUUCAUUCAGCUUUACAAUUGGCCAAGGAUCCAUUAUUAAAGGUACACAUUUAGCACAAAGGCCCCAGGGCAGAAGCCAUUCAUUCGGCUUUACAAUUGGCCAAGGAUCCAUUAUUAAAGAAAAUCUGAACAGGAAUUUCAAUGCUGAGGCUUCAGAGGAAGAGCAGAGAGAAGGAGCAUAAAAACAGAGCAGAGCAGAGCAGAGAUAAAACAGGGGAUGAUGAGUAAAAGAGAAGAAUCCCACAUGGGAUUGGCUUGAAAUUAUCUUCGAUUGUCGGCUUUUUGCGGAGUUUCAAGGCCUCUUUAACAGGCUGUGAAGUCAUGGGGAAUGAGAGUGUUGAACAUAUGAUGAUAAUGGCUGCUAGAUGGGAGAUUAUCACCAAACAUUGAGAGAACGGUCAAGGAUUGGGCUUCUGCAAAAAAUGGGACAUACGCUCACAGCUUUCGCGAGACUAUACACAGGACUACUGAUUUAGGUUUCUCUCUGACUCGGUCUCCUUCGCAGUCUUUCACUCUGUCUCCCUUUCACUCUCUCAGCCUGUCUUUUCCCUUUUUCUGGUUGUUGAUAUGGAUCUGAGGGGAUCGUGAUUUUUGAAACUCAAAGCUGCCGAUGGAUUUAAACCAGAUCUUCAAAAGAUUUAAAUCUGAGAAAUUUGUGAUGUCUAUUCUUUCAUGUUUGCCACUUCGCUGACUAUGUUGGGGAUCAAGCUGCUCGGUCGAGCGGAGAUCGCGGAUCAGUUUUCUAUAAAUAUGUGAUUUCAUCUGUUUUUAGGGUUACGGCUUCCAGAUCUUCUCCUUGGAUAUUAGGAUAUAUAUCUGGAGCUUCUUUGCUAGUUUUUUUUUUAUGUUUGUUUGAGUUUAAUUCAUGGUUUGAGAAGUAUACAUCAAAGGAUUGUUUGUUUCAUUCAAUACAAAAGAGAGAAUUGUUCUUCGGUGAGUUUCGGGGAAUUUGGGACUGAAGCAUUGGUGGAUUCUGGAGUGGCUCAUCAUUGUAGAUUUGACAUCGACGUUGUGGAUUCAACGUUGGGCAAAAUAAUUCCGAAGUGAAGAUGGGGUUGGAAGAGGCACAUUGGGAUCGGUUCGAUUCGAGCGUCGAUUCGCUAGGUAAUUGAGAGUACACUUGUGUAAUUCUUUUAUGUCUUCUUAGUGGAUUAUUUUGUUGCUUUUGCCCGUGAUUUUUUUUAUCACAAUUGGAGGUGUUUCAAUUGUGGUUUUACUACGUUAAAAUCGUUAUGUCGAUUUGUCUUGAUUAUU
Molecule: long non-coding RNA, 1333 nt
Organism: Camellia sinensis
Lineage: Eukaryota; Viridiplantae; Streptophyta; Magnoliopsida; Ericales; Theaceae
Source: RefSeq, a predicted model, not a curated record